This 1576-nucleotide ribosomal RNA is filed under the name Limosilactobacillus fermentum. RNAcentral's name for it is "Lactobacillus fermentum Bacterial small subunit ribosomal RNA". It matches the Rfam family "Bacterial small subunit ribosomal RNA". Lineage: Bacteria; Bacillati; Bacillota; Bacilli; Lactobacillales; Lactobacillaceae. The record is from Rfam by way of RNAcentral.
UUAUAUGAGAGUUUGAUCCUGGCUCAGGAUGAACGCUGGCGGUGUGCCUAAUACAUGCAAGUCGAACGCGUUGGCCCAAUUGAUUGAUGGUGCUUGCACCUGAUUGAUUUUGGUCGCCAACGAGUGGCGGACGGGUGAGUAACACGUAGGUAACCUGCCCAGAAGCGGGGGACAACAUUUGGAAACAGAUGCUAAUACCGCAUAACAGCGUUGUUCGCAUGAACAACGCUUAAAAGAUGGCUUCUCGCUAUCACUUCUGGAUGGACCUGCGGUGCAUUAGCUUGUUGGUGGGGUAAUGGCCUACCAAGGCGAUGAUGCAUAGCCGAGUUGAGAGACUGAUCGGCCACAAUGGGACUGAGACACGGCCCAUACUCCUACGGGAGGCAGCAGUAGGGAAUCUUCCACAAUGGGCGCAAGCCUGAUGGAGCAACACCGCGUGAGUGAAGAAGGGUUUCGGCUCGUAAAGCUCUGUUGUUAAAGAAGAACACGUAUGAGAGUAACUGUUCAUACGUUGACGGUAUUUAACCAGAAAGUCACGGCUAACUACGUGCCAGCAGCCGCGGUAAUACGUAGGUGGCAAGCGUUAUCCGGAUUUAUUGGGCGUAAAGAGAGUGCAGGCGGUUUUCUAAGUCUGAUGUGAAAGCCUUCGGCUUAACCGGAGAAGUGCAUCGGAAACUGGAUAACUUGAGUGCAGAAGAGGGUAGUGGAACUCCAUGUGUAGCGGUGGAAUGCGUAGAUAUAUGGAAGAACACCAGUGGCGAAGGCGGCUACCUGGUCUGCAACUGACGCUGAGACUCGAAAGCAUGGGUAGCGAACAGGAUUAGAUACCCUGGUAGUCCAUGCCGUAAACGAUGAGUGCUAGGUGUUGGAGGGUUUCCGCCCUUCAGUGCCGGAGCUAACGCAUUAAGCACUCCGCCUGGGGAGUACGACCGCAAGGUUGAAACUCAAAGGAAUUGACGGGGGCCCGCACAAGCGGUGGAGCAUGUGGUUUAAUUCGAAGCUACGCGAAGAACCUUACCAGGUCUUGACAUCUUGCGCCAACCCUAGAGAUAGGGCGUUUCCUUCGGGAACGCAAUGACAGGUGGUGCAUGGUCGUCGUCAGCUCGUGUCGUGAGAUGUUGGGUUAAGUCCCGCAACGAGCGCAACCCUUGUUACUAGUUGCCAGCAUUAAGUUGGGCACUCUAGUGAGACUGCCGGUGACAAACCGGAGGAAGGUGGGGACGACGUCAGAUCAUCAUGCCCCUUAUGACCUGGGCUACACACGUGCUACAAUGGACGGUACAACGAGUCGCGAACUCGCGAGGGCAAGCAAAUCUCUUAAAACCGUUCUCAGUUCGGACUGCAGGCUGCAACUCGCCUGCACGAAGUCGGAAUCGCUAGUAAUCGCGGAUCAGCAUGCCGCGGUGAAUACGUUCCCGGGCCUUGUACACACCGCCCGUCACACCAUGAGAGUUUGUAACACCCAAAGUCGGUGGGGUAACCUUUUAGGAGCCAGCCGCCUAAGGUGGGACAGAUGAUUAGGGUGAAGUCGUAACAAGGUAGCCGUAGGAGAACCUGCGGCUGGAUCACCUCCUUU